ACUGCGAUAGGGGACAUCGAGUGGCACCCACCAUGGGUGUCUGUCCAGCCGUCUAAAAAACGGCUGUUAGCAAGGGCCGGGCAAGACCGGUGCCAGCCGCCGCGGUAAUACCGGCGGCUCGAGUGGUGGCCGAUAUUAUUGAGUCUAAAGGGUCCGUAGCCGGCUUUGCAAGUCCCCUGGGAAAUCCAGCGGCUUAACCGUUGGGCUUUCAUGGGAUACUACAUUGCUUGGGACUGGGAGAGGUAGGAGGUACUCAGGGGGUAGGGG
RNAcentral lists this ribosomal RNA (267 nucleotides) under uncultured archaeon. RNAcentral's name for it is "partial 16S ribosomal RNA". It matches the Rfam family "Archaeal small subunit ribosomal RNA", at positions 364 to 632 of the family's 1478-position model. The record is from RNAcentral.